RNAcentral lists this transfer-messenger RNA (395 nucleotides) under Alphaproteobacteria bacterium. It matches the Rfam family "Alphaproteobacteria transfer-messenger RNA". From Rfam's summary of the family: Bacterial tmRNA, also known as 10Sa RNA or SsrA, is named for its dual tRNA and mRNA-like properties. Its role is to liberate the mRNA from a stalled ribosome. To accomplish this part of the tmRNA is used as a reading frame that ends in a translation stop signal. Lineage: Bacteria; Pseudomonadati; Pseudomonadota; Alphaproteobacteria. RNAcentral also lists the same sequence under 1 other name. The record is from RNAcentral.
GCGCUUCCAAAGAUCACCCCCUGCCCUUAUAUUAUACGGGCCGGCUUGCCGGCUAUGGCGAUAAACGUGCUGUGAAAUAAGCAGAGCGGACCCGGGGGCGGUACCCGGCGCCUCCACCAUUUCAGCCGACACCGACAUGCGGAUGCGAGACAGCAGAGGCAACAUAGCGGCUGAAAGAGUGGGGGCGAAACAGGAUCGACGCAUGUGGUAAAGGCAGUAUUUUCGCUCGGUAUGGUACCCGCCGUUAUCGGGCCAUGUAGUAGUUGCAAACGACAACACUGCUCCGGUCGCAAUCGCAGCCUAACGGCAGCGGGAGUAACCGAUCUUAAAGUCCAGUCCGCUUGAGCUCGGGCUGGCGGGGUUUGGAACGCACCUGGCAACAGAAGCGUUCCGCU